This 183-nucleotide unclassified non-coding RNA is filed under the name uncultured Macrophomina. RNAcentral describes it as "sequence contains ITS1". The record is from RNAcentral. Lineage: Eukaryota; Fungi; Ascomycota; Dothideomycetes; Botryosphaeriales; Botryosphaeriaceae.
CCGAGUUGAUUCGGGGCUCCGUCCCCGAUCCUCCCACCCUUUGUAUACCUACCUCUGUUGCUUUGGCGGGCCGCGGUCUUUCCGCGGCCGCCCCCCGAUUUUGGGGGUGGCUAGUGCCCGCCAGAGGACUAUCAAACUCCAGUCAGUAAACGUUGCAGUCUGAAAAAAAUAUUAAAUAAACUA